GGAGUUGCUCUCAAGACUUAUUUUUAGCAAGGAGAGACGUAAAAUGG
RNAcentral lists this small RNA (47 nucleotides) under uncultured Streptococcus sp. RNAcentral's name for it is "Streptococcus sRNA SpR10". It matches the Rfam family "Streptococcus sRNA SpR10". The record is from RNAcentral. Lineage: Bacteria; Bacillati; Bacillota; Bacilli; Lactobacillales; Streptococcaceae.